Molecule: ribosomal RNA, 497 nt
Filed under: uncultured bacterium
Lineage: Bacteria
Description: partial 16S ribosomal RNA
Rfam family: Bacterial small subunit ribosomal RNA
Source: RNAcentral
GAUGAACGCUGGCGGCGUGCCUAAUACAUGCAAGUCGAGCGAACGGACGAGAAGCUUGCUUCUCUGAUGUUAGCGGCGGAUGGGUGAGUAACACGUGGAUAGCCUACCUAUAAGACUGGGAUAACUUCGGGAAACCGUAGCUAAUACCGGAUAAUAUUUUGAACCGCAUGGUUCAAAAGUGAAAGACGGUCUUGCUGUCACUUAUAGAUGGAUCCGCGCUGCAUUAGCUAGUUGGUAAGGUAACGGCUUACCAAGGCAACGAUGCAUAGCCGACCUGAGAGGGUGAUCGGCCACACUGGAACUGAGACACGGUCCAGACUCCUACGGGAGGCAGCAGUAGGGAAUCUUCCGCAAUGGGCGAAAGCCUGACGGAGCAACGCCGCGUGAGUGAUGAAGGUCUUCGGAUCGUAAAACUCUGUUAUUAGGGAAGAACAUAUGUGUAAGUAACUGUGCACAUCUUGACGGUACCUAAUCAGAAAGCCACGGCUAACUACGUG